Small nuclear RNA from Cervus hanglu yarkandensis (Yarkand deer), 109 nucleotides. Lineage: Eukaryota; Metazoa; Chordata; Mammalia; Artiodactyla; Cervidae. The record is from Ensembl.
GUGCUUGGUCUGGCAACACUUGUAAUAAAAUUGGAACUGUAUACAAAGAAGAUUCACAUUGCCCCUGCACAAGGAUGACACACAAAUUGGUGAAUCAUUUCGUAGUUUU